This 346-nucleotide unclassified non-coding RNA is filed under the name rhizosphere metagenome. RNAcentral's name for it is "partial ribosomal RNA internal transcribed spacer region". The record is from RNAcentral.
ACGUGAUACUCACGUAUUAAAACCCACCGAGAAUUUGUUAUUAUCCUAGUUUAAGAGGCAGGUAGGCGAAGUGAGGAAAUGCUAUUGGUUUUAUUACCAUGACUCAUUAGUCGUUCUUAGGUCCGCCCUGGAGCUUGCGCUGACAACUAGUUGACGAGUUACGACUGCUUAUUAAGCCUGUAGCAUAGCUUGCAGAUCGUAAUGACCUUAUUAACCCCAUUUUUACUAUUAUUUACUGAUUUGUACGUUUAUAUGAAUUCCUAACUUUUACUAGUUGGUUGUAGUUUAUAUAGAUGUCGUAUAUUACUAAUACGAAACAACUCUUAGCAACGGAUAUCUUGGUUCU